This 434-nucleotide ribosomal RNA is filed under the name uncultured bacterium. RNAcentral's name for it is "partial 16S ribosomal RNA". It matches the Rfam family "Bacterial small subunit ribosomal RNA", at positions 29 to 507 of the family's 1533-position model. The record is from RNAcentral.
GCGAACGCUGGCGGCAGGCUUAACCCAUGCCAGUCGCGCGGGCAUAGCAAUAUGUCAGCGGCAGACGGGUGAGUAACGCGUGGGAACGUACCUUUUGGUUCGGAACAACUGAGGGAAACUUCAGCUAAUACCGGAUAAGCCCUUACGGGGAAAGAUUUAUCGCCGAAAGAUCGGCCCGCGUCUGAUUAGCUAGUUGGUGAGGUAAUGGCUCACCAAGGCGACGAUCAGUAGCUGGUCUGAGAGGAUGAUCAGCCACAUUGGGACUGAGACACGGCCCAAACUCCUACGGGAGGCAGCAGUGGGGAAUAUUGGACAAUGGGCGCAAGCCUGAUCCAGCCAUGCCGCGUGAGUGAUGAAGGCCCUAGGGUUGUAAAGCUCUUUUGUGCGGGAAGAUAAUGACGGUACCGCAAGAAUAAGCCCCGGCUAACUUCGUG